GAUGAACGCUGGCGGCGUGCUUAACACAUGCAAGUCGAGCGAAGCACCUACUUUGGAUUUCUUCGGAAUGACGAGGUUUGUGACUGAGCGGCGGACGGGUGAGUAACGCGUGGGCAACCUGCCUCACACAGGGGGAUAACAGUUAGAAAUGACUGCUAAUACCGCAUAAGACCACGAAACCGCAUGGUUUUGAGGUAAAAACUCCGGUGGUGUGAGAUGGGCCCGCGUCUGAUUAGGUAGUUGGUGCGGUAACGGCGCACCAAGCCGACGAUCAGUAGCCGACCUGAGAGGGUGACCGGCCACAUUGGGACUGAGACACGGCCCAAACUCCUACGGGAGGCAGCAGUGGGGAAUAUUGCACAAUGGGGGAAACCCUGAUGCAGCGACGCCGCGUGAAGGAUGAAGUAUUUCGGUAUGUAAACUUCUAUCAGCAGGGAAGAAAAUGACGG
RNAcentral lists this ribosomal RNA (449 nucleotides) under uncultured bacterium. RNAcentral describes it as "bacterial SSU rRNA". It matches the Rfam family "Bacterial small subunit ribosomal RNA", at positions 28 to 457 of the family's 1533-position model. The record is from RNAcentral.